RNAcentral lists this ribosomal RNA (433 nucleotides) under uncultured bacterium. Its description in RNAcentral is "partial 16S ribosomal RNA". It matches the Rfam family "Bacterial small subunit ribosomal RNA", at positions 28 to 507 of the family's 1533-position model. The record is from RNAcentral.
GACGAACGCUGGCGGCAUGCCUAACACAUGCAAGUCGAACGAGACCUUCGGGUCUAGUGGCGCACGGGUGCGUAACGCGUGGGAACUUGCCCUUAGGUACGGAAUCAAUGACCGCAAGGGGUGCUAAUACAGGAGAAUGUCAUCGGACCAAAGAUUUAUGGCCUUUGGAUGGGCCCGCGUAGGAUUAGCUAGUUGGUAGGGUAGAAGCCAACCACGGCGACGAUGCAUAGCUGGUCUGGGAGGAGGAUCAGGCACACUGGGACUGAGGCACGGCCCAGUCACCUACUGGCGGCAGCAGUGGGGACUAUGAGACAACGACCGAGCGCCUGAGCCAGCGAUGCCGCGGUUGUGAUGAAGGCCUUUGGGUUAUGAAGCUCUUUUACCCGGGAUGUUAAUGACGGUACCGUGAGAAUAAGCUCCGGCUAACUCCGUG